ACGUAGGUGGCAAGCGUUAUCCGGAUUUAUUGGGCGUAAAGAGUGAGCAGGCGGUUUUCACAGUUCGAAGUCAAAUCCAGUUGCUUAACAACUGUUCGCUUUGAAUACUAGAAAGCUAGAGUGCAGGAGAGGUUAGCGGAAUUCCAUGUGUAGCGGUGAAAUGCGUAGAUAUAUGGAGGAACACCAGUGGCGAAGGCGGCUAACUGGCCUGUAACUGACGCUCAGUCACGAAAGCGUGGGGAGCAAAUAG
RNAcentral lists this ribosomal RNA (250 nucleotides) under uncultured prokaryote. RNAcentral describes it as "partial 16S rRNA". It matches the Rfam family "Bacterial small subunit ribosomal RNA", at positions 525 to 775 of the family's 1533-position model. The record is from RNAcentral.